RNAcentral lists this ribosomal RNA (372 nucleotides) under uncultured bacterium. RNAcentral describes it as "bacterial SSU rRNA". It matches the Rfam family "Bacterial small subunit ribosomal RNA", at positions 527 to 896 of the family's 1533-position model. The record is from RNAcentral.
ACAGGUCUCAAGCGUUGUUCGGAUUCAUUGGGCGUAAAGGGUGCGUAGGUGGUGACGCAAGUCUGGUGUGAAAUCUCGGAGCUUAACUCCGAAACUGCACCGGAUACUGCGUGACUCGAGGACUGUAGAGGAGAUCGGAAUUCACGGUGUAGCAGUGAAAUGCGUAGAUAUCGUGAGGAAGACCAGUUGCGAAGGCGGAUCUCUGGGCAGUUCCUGACACUGAGGCACGAAGGCCAGGGGAGCAAACGGGAUUAGAUACCCCGGUAGUCCUGGCAGUAAACGGUGCACGUUUGGUGUGGGCGGGUUCAGACCCCGUCCGUGCCGGAGCUAACGCGUUAAACGUGCCGCCUGGGAAGUACGGUCGCAAGAUUA